AUUGAACGCUGGCGGCAGGCUUAACACAUGCAAGUCGAGCGAGCGGCGGACGGGUGAGUAAUGUCUGGGAAACUGCCUGAUGGAGGGGGAUAACUACUGGAAACGGUAGCUAAUACCGCAUACCAUCAGAUGUGCCCAGAUGGGAUUAGCUAGUUGGUGGGGUAAUGGCUCACCAAGGCGACGAUCCCUAGCUGGUUUGAGAGGAUGACCAGCCACACUGGAACUGAGACACGGCCCAGACUCCUACGGGAGGCAGGAGUGGGGAAUAUUGGACAAUGGGGGAAAGCCGGAUGCAGCCAUCCCGCGUGUGUGAAGAAGGCCUUCGGGUUGUAAAGCACUUUUAGCGAGGAGGCGGUACUCGCAGAAGAAGCACCGGCUAACUCCGUGCCAGCAGCCGCGGUAAUAC
RNAcentral lists this ribosomal RNA (406 nucleotides) under uncultured bacterium. Its description in RNAcentral is "partial 16S ribosomal RNA". It matches the Rfam family "Bacterial small subunit ribosomal RNA", at positions 30 to 526 of the family's 1533-position model. The record is from RNAcentral.